CGAGUCCGUCCGGGUCGCCGCGGCGGAAGCGGCGGCGCUUCCCGGCAGCUCUUCCCGGCAGCUCUUCCCGGCAGCGCCAGCCCUUCCGGCGGCGGCGGGGGUGAGUGCGGGUGCGGGUGCGGGUGCGGGUGCGGGCCGGGGGGCGCAGCGGGCGGGGGGUGCUUCUCCGUCCGCCGGGAAGCACAGGCGCGGCCCCGGGCCGGGCGGUGCCGCCGCGGCGCCCUCACGGCCUGUACGGCCCGAAGGGUUUGGCCUGUGAUCGAGGAGCAGCCCUAAACGUGGGCAUGUAGUCAGUCAGUAGUCCUAAAUGCAGCUUCCGUGCCAAAAAAAACCCCAAAAAACAAAAAAGCAACAGCUUUACUGACUUCAGGUUUAUAGAAAGUUGCACAUAUCCAGGGUUUUGGCCUCAAAUUCCUAAUUUAUGAGGUGGAGAGCCUGAAACCGGGCUUCACUGUAGCAUGUAAUGCGCUUUGUGAGAAAUGGCGAUGGUACUGAUCGUGCAGAGAUUCUCUGAUUUGCUCUGYCUCUGCACCAGUCUCCUCUCCCUCCUCCCCCGCCCAAGACUUUUGGAAAGUCGUUGAAUGUACUUUUGUCUCGUGCUAGGUAUGGAUAACAGAAAGGAGGAAAGAAGUAGGUCGCUGUGUGCAACAUCACAAGAAGAGCUGAAAGUCCAAGGAAAAGAAAAAAGAAAACGAAAACGUAGCAGAAGCAGAUCAUCAUCAAUUUCAUCCACAUCAUCUUCUAGUACUGCCACUACAUCCGCUUCUUCCUCCUCAUCACGCUCGUCAUCAAGGUCUUCUUCCAGUAGCAGAGGUAAGCUGCCACUAGUGUACUUCAGUGUGUACAAAUGGUGGUUACCCGUGUUGAUAGCAUUCCUGAAAACAUUUACUGCUUACUUUAAAAGUGGCUAA
RNAcentral lists this long non-coding RNA (911 nucleotides) under Dromaius novaehollandiae (emu). RNAcentral describes it as "lncRNA (ENSDNVG00000018917.1)". Lineage: Eukaryota; Metazoa; Chordata; Aves; Casuariiformes; Dromaiidae. The record is from RNAcentral.